GACCUGCACAGUGUCCCCACCUCUGGGAGAGCCAUGCAGGAAGGGUGGAGCAGGGCGUGUUUAGCAGCCUGGCUCCAUGCCAUCCAUCACCUGGAAUAUGCUGGUCCUCCAUCAGUGAAGUGUGCCUUGUCUGAUGGGAACAACCAAGCAGACGUUUGGGAAGGUAGGAUUUCGUGA
RNAcentral lists this long non-coding RNA (177 nucleotides) under Zonotrichia albicollis (white-throated sparrow). RNAcentral describes it as "lncRNA (ENSZALG00000001654.1)". Lineage: Eukaryota; Metazoa; Chordata; Aves; Passeriformes; Passerellidae. The record is from RNAcentral.